AGGAUGAACGCUGGCGGCGUGCUUAACACAUGCAAGUCACGGGGGCCCAGCAAUGGGCAACCGGCGAACGGGUGCGUAACACGUGAGCAACCUACCGAAUUGUGGGGGAUAGCCGGCCCAACGGCCGGGUAAUACCGCAUACGCUCGAGACGAGGCAUUUCGACUCGAGGAAACCUCCGGGGCAAUUUGAGGGGCUCGCGGCCUAUCAGCUAGUUGGUGAGGUAACGGCUCACCAAGGCGACGACGGGUAGCUGGUCUGAGAGGAUGGCCAGCCACAUUGGGACUGAGAUACGGCCCAGACUCCUACGGGAGCAGCAGUGGGGAAUCUUGCGCAAGU
Molecule: ribosomal RNA, 337 nt
Filed under: uncultured soil bacterium
Lineage: Bacteria
Description: bacterial SSU rRNA
Rfam family: Bacterial small subunit ribosomal RNA
Source: RNAcentral